Molecule: ribosomal RNA, 440 nt
Filed under: uncultured bacterium
Lineage: Bacteria
Description: bacterial SSU rRNA
Rfam family: Bacterial small subunit ribosomal RNA
Source: RNAcentral
CCUACGGGAGGCAGCAGUAGGGAAUAUUGGGCAAUGGACGCAAGUCUGACCCAGCCAUGCCGCGUGCAGGAAGAAGGCCUUCUGGGUUGUAAACUGCUUUUUUACGGGAAGAAAAAGCGCUUGCGAGCGAAACUGACGGUACCGUAAGAAUAAGCACCGGCUAACUCCGUGCCAGCAGCCGCGGUAAUACGGAGGGUGCAAGCGUUGUCCGGAUUUAUUGGGUUUAAAGGGUGCGUAGGCGGCCCGAUAAGUCAGUGGUGAAAGCCCAUCGCUCAACGAUGGAACUGCCAUUGAUACUGUCGGGCUUGAGUACAGACGAGGUAGGCGGAAUUGAAGAUGUAGCGGUGAAAUGCAUAGAUAUCUUCAAGAACACCGAUUGCGUAGGCAGCUUACUAGGCUGUAACUGACGCUGAGGCACGAAAGCGUGGGGAGCGAACAGG